CUUGCUUUCUGCCGCCGGCGACCGGCGCACGGGUGAGUAACACGUAUGGAACCUGCCCGCAGCAGGGGGAUAAUCGGGGGAAACCCCGUCUAAUACCGCGUAACGACCCGGAGGGGCAUCCCUUCGGGUCCAAAGGUUUACCGGCUGCGGAUGGCCAUGCGUCGCAUUAGCUUGUUGGCGGGGUAACGGCCCACCAAGGCGACGAUGCGUAGGGGUUCUGAGAGGAAGGUCCCCCACACUGGUACUGAGACACGGACCAGACUCCUACGGGAGGCAGCAG
Molecule: ribosomal RNA, 280 nt
Filed under: uncultured bacterium
Lineage: Bacteria
Description: partial 16S ribosomal RNA
Rfam family: Bacterial small subunit ribosomal RNA
Source: RNAcentral